Non-coding RNA from Picea glauca (white spruce), 46 nucleotides. The record is from Rfam. Lineage: Eukaryota; Viridiplantae; Streptophyta; Pinopsida; Pinales; Pinaceae.
UCAAUGGUGUCUCUUGACACCACCUACCUAUUCUGUUGAUCUGUUG